ACGCUCACACCUACGGGAAGCAGCAGUGGGGAAUACUGCACAAUGGAGGAAACUCUGAUGCAGCGAUGCCGCGUGAGGGAAGAAGGUUUUCGGAUUGUAAACCUCUGUCUUUGGGGACGAUAAUGACGGUACCCAACGGAGGAAGCUCCGGCUAACUACGUGCCAACAGCCGCGGUAAUCUGAGCGGGCUGGCAAGGC
Molecule: ribosomal RNA, 198 nt
Filed under: uncultured bacterium
Lineage: Bacteria
Description: partial 16S ribosomal RNA
Rfam family: Bacterial small subunit ribosomal RNA
Source: RNAcentral